RNAcentral lists this ribosomal RNA (253 nucleotides) under uncultured bacterium. RNAcentral describes it as "partial 16S ribosomal RNA". It matches the Rfam family "Bacterial small subunit ribosomal RNA", at positions 524 to 776 of the family's 1533-position model. The record is from RNAcentral.
UACGUAGGGGGCUAGCGUUGUCCGGAAUCAUUGGGCGUAAAGCGCGUGUAGGCGGCCCGGUAAGUCCGCUGUGAAAGUCGGGGGCUCAACCCUCGGAUGCCGGUGGAUACUGUCGGGCUCGAGUACGGAAGAGGCGAGUGGAAUUCCUGGUGUAGCGGUGAAAUGCGCAGAUAUCAGGAGGAACGCCUAUUGCGAAGGCAGCUCGCUGGGACGUCACUGACGCUGAGACGCGAAAGCGUGGGGAGCAAACAGG